GUUUCCCCUAGAGUUCCCUUGAACACUUCAUUAAGGACUCUAGUAUUAUAUCCAAAGUUGUUCUAUAAUGAAGUGUUUGGGGGAAUUCCCGGUGGCAC
This 98-nucleotide microRNA precursor is filed under the name Lupinus angustifolius (narrow-leaved blue lupine). Its description in RNAcentral is "mir-395 microRNA precursor family". It matches the Rfam family "mir-395 microRNA precursor family". From Rfam's summary of the family: mir-395 was identified in both Arabidopsis thaliana and Oryza sativa computationally and was later experimentally verified. mir-395 is thought to target mRNAs coding for ATP sulphurylases. The mature sequence is excised from the 3' arm of the hairpin. The record is from Rfam by way of RNAcentral. Lineage: Eukaryota; Viridiplantae; Streptophyta; Magnoliopsida; Fabales; Fabaceae.